Molecule: antisense RNA, 75 nt
Filed under: Nocardia donostiensis
Lineage: Bacteria; Bacillati; Actinomycetota; Actinomycetes; Mycobacteriales; Nocardiaceae
Description: ASpks TB sRNA
Rfam family: ASpks TB sRNA
Source: Rfam by way of RNAcentral
UUUGACGGACCCCAGCCACAGCGGCCGAUCCGUCGGCCGGUCCUGGCCGUAGGUCGCCAGCAGGGCCUGCGCCUC